This 520-nucleotide ribosomal RNA is filed under the name Betta splendens (Siamese fighting fish). RNAcentral describes it as "partial 16S ribosomal RNA". It matches the Rfam family "Bacterial large subunit ribosomal RNA", at positions 1851 to 2571 of the family's 2925-position model. The record is from RNAcentral. Lineage: Eukaryota; Metazoa; Chordata; Actinopteri; Anabantiformes; Osphronemidae.
GGUCCUGCCUGCCCUGUGAUAUAUAUUUAACGGCCGCGGUAUUUUGACCGUGCAAAGGUAGCGCAAUCACUUGUCCUUUAAAUGAAGACCUGUAUGAAUGGCACGACGAGGGCUUAACUGUCUCCUUUUUCCAAUCAAUGAAAUUGAUCUUCCCGUGCAGAAGCGGGAAUACAACCAUAAGACGAGAAGACCCUAUGGAGCUUUAAACAAAAAUAGAUCUUGUUAAACAUAUCUUAAUUAAAGAAGUGAACCGAAAGAAUCCUAUCAUUNAUGUUUUUGGUUGGGGCGACCGCGGGGAAACAAACAACCCCCAUGUGGACUAAGAAAACAUUUCUCACAAUAAAGAGCCACAGCUCUAAUUAACAGAAUUUCUGACCUANUAGAUCCGGCAAUGCCGAUCAACGGACCGAGUUACCCUAGGGAUAACAGCGCAAUCCUCUUUAAGAGUUCAUAUCGACAAGAGGGUUUACGACCUCGAUGUUGGAUCAGGACACCCUAAUGGUGCAGCAGCUAUUAAGGG